This 211-nucleotide non-coding RNA is filed under the name Clostridium acidisoli. Its description in RNAcentral is "T-box sequence". It matches the Rfam family "T-box leader". Rfam says of the family: Uncharged tRNA acts as the effector for transcription antitermination of genes in the T-box leader family. T-boxes are found upstream of many aminoacyl-tRNA synthetase genes and some amino acid biosynthetic genes usually in Gram-positive bacteria. The record is from RNAcentral. Lineage: Bacteria; Bacillati; Bacillota; Clostridia; Eubacteriales; Clostridiaceae.
AUAUAUACAAGGAUAAGGAUUAGUAAAAAUGUGAGUUUUUUUUAAGAGAGGGACACGGAUUAGGUGAAAGUUUCCUAAAAAAACAAUUUUGAACCUACCUUUGAGUUCUGCAUUAAAGGUGCAGCGGUGAUUCCGUUAAAGUCUUAAAGUGAGUAUUUUAAUUAAUUAUAUUAAUUAGGGUGGUACCACCGGUGUAAUCUCGGUCCCUUUG